CCUACGGGAGGCAGCAGUGGGGAAUAUUGCACAAUGGGGGAAACCCUGAUGCAGCGACGCCGCGUGAGUGAAGAAGUAUUUCGGUACGUAAAGCUCUAUCAGCAGGGAAGAAAAUGACGGUACCUGACUAAGAAGCCCCGGCUAAAUACGUGCCAGCAGCCGCGGUAAUACGUAGGGGGCAAGCGUUAUCCGGAUUUACUGGGUGUAAAGGGAGCGUAGACGGGAGCGCAAGUUUGGAGUGAAAUCCCAUGGCUUAACCAUGGAACUGCUUUGGAAACUGUGCAGUUAGAGUGCAGGAGAGGUAAGCGGAAUUCCUAGUGUAGCGGUGAAAUGCGUUGAUAUUAGGAGGAACACCAGUGGCGAAGGCGGCUUACUGGACUGUAACUGACGUUGAGGCUCGAAAGCGUGGGGAGCAAACAGGAUUAGAUACCCUGGUAGUC
This 440-nucleotide ribosomal RNA is filed under the name uncultured bacterium. RNAcentral describes it as "partial 16S ribosomal RNA". It matches the Rfam family "Bacterial small subunit ribosomal RNA", at positions 338 to 795 of the family's 1533-position model. The record is from RNAcentral.